UACGUACCGUACGAACGUUAUUCGGAAUUACUGGGCUUAAAGGGUUUGUAGGCGGCCUUGUAAGUCAGGUGUGAAAUCCCUCGGCUCAACCGAGGAACAGCGCUUGAUACUGCAAGGCUUGAGGGAGACAGGGGUAAGCGGAACUGAUGGUGGAGCGGUGAAAUGCGUUGAUAUCAUCAGGAACACCGGUGGCGAAAGCGGCUUACUGGGUCUCUUCUGACGCUGAGGAGCGAAAGCGUGGGGAGCAAACAGG
RNAcentral lists this ribosomal RNA (253 nucleotides) under uncultured bacterium. RNAcentral's name for it is "partial 16S ribosomal RNA". It matches the Rfam family "Bacterial small subunit ribosomal RNA", at positions 524 to 776 of the family's 1533-position model. The record is from RNAcentral.